GAUGAACGCUGGCGGCGUGCCUAAUACAUGCAAGUCGAGCGAACGGACGAGAAGCUUGCUUCUCUGAUGUUAGCGGCGGACGGGUGAGUAACACGUGGAUAACCUACCUAUAAGACUGGGAUAACUUCGGGAAACCGGAGCUAAUACCGGAUGAUAUUUUGAACCGCAUGGUUCAAAAGUGAAAGACGGUCUUGCUGUCACGUAUAGAUGGAUCCGCGCUGCAUUAGCUAGUUGGUAAGGUAACGGCUUACCAAGGCAACGAUGCAUAGCCGACCUGAGAGGGUGAUCGGCCACACUGGAACUGAGACACGGUCCAGACUCCUACGGGAGGCAGCAGUAGGGAAUCUUCCGCAAAGGGCGAAAGCCUGACGGAGCAACGCCGCGUGAGUGAUGAAGGUCUUCGGAUCGUAAAACUCUGUUAUUAGGGAAGAACAUAUGUGUAAGUAACUGUGCACAUCUUGACGGUACCUAAUCAGAAAGCCACGGCUAACUACGUG
Molecule: ribosomal RNA, 497 nt
Filed under: uncultured bacterium
Lineage: Bacteria
Description: partial 16S ribosomal RNA
Rfam family: Bacterial small subunit ribosomal RNA
Source: RNAcentral